UCAGGUUCCAUGGCUUCACCAUCCUACACAAUAGUACGAUUGUAAAUAUUUUGGUGGUACUAUUGAUUGAAUUGAUCUAUUUGGUAGUGAACCCUAUUUUGCAACCUCUGAUAAUUUUAUAUGGGCAAUUCCUAGGACAUAGUAGAUCCAACAACCUGGUAAUUUGUUAAUCUAAAUGAAAACAACUAUUGUUGAUGGCAAAAUUAGGAGGCAACUCUGAUUAUGGAGUAUCGUAGAUAUGUACAUGUGGCACAUAAGAGAAUCAGAUCGCACUAUGAAUGCCUAUAUACAUACUAAAAAGAUCUAACAUCGAAUCACAAUUAGAUUAUCGAUGCCUAUAUAUAUAUCAAGUGCAGUAGUUAGUUUUUCAUGACAAGGAUAUGCAGUUUAAAGCACACUGUAAGGAUAGUUUUCCAUAAGCAUCGAUCAUAUUUGUCCAGAAUAUAUAGUGUACAGUAAGAGCUAAGCAGUAAGCAGAUGAAAAUUAGAAUAUCUUGUGAUGUUGAUAGCAGUAAGUGGGGCAAGCGAGACCAGAUUUAAUAGUAAAUUACCUUCAUGUUUAAGAUGUUGGUAGCAAGCUAGGAAAAUAACUGAUAAGGGAUGUGAACAUCCUGUGAGACAAACAUGCGACAAAAAUUGAAGUGUCCAGUCAUAUGAUGAACUAAAGAUUAGUGGCAUGCUCAUCUUCUUCCACUUCGUAGAUUUAUCCUUUUGAACCAAACGACUCAUCUUGCAUUAUUGCUUCUUGUAUCCCCUCUGUAGAAAAAUAUGGAUGAUGAGAAGGAAAAAAAUUAAGAAGGAAAACACAGAUAAGGCUAAGUGCCAUGUAUGGAAAUCUUCAGAGGACAAAAUACUGCUCAAUAUAUUCAAAGAUCAAAGUCUACAUGGAGGAAAAGAAGGAACGGGUUACACAAAGAAAGCAUGGCGUGAUAUCUUAGAACUAUUCAAUGAUUCAAGGGUAGAAAAACUUGAAUUACAACAAUUGAAAAAUCAUCAUAAGUAUUACAGGAGUUGCUACACCACCAUGGAUAGGCUUCUAAAACUCACGAGAUUUGGUUGGGAUGACGAUGACAAAAUGAUAAAAGCUUCAGAAGAUAUUUGGGAAGAACUAAUUAAGGUAAGUUUGUUGUAGUAGAAUUCAUAUAAAGUUGCAUAAUCCUAUUAUUAACCAAAACAUUAAACAACUUGCAGAAGGAUAAGGCUAUCCAAGAAUAUUGAGAUAAGGUGUGGCCUAGUUGGAUAGAUCUUCAAGCCAUAUGUGCUAGUUCAAUAGCAUCUGGAGCUGGUGCUGUAUCUAGCAAAGGAAAAGAUGGUACAUGUAUGACCAAAUCUUCACAAAUUGAUCUCAAUACGGAAGUUGAAGUACAUGACAUCGAUUCUGAUGAAAUCAAUGCUUCCCUUGGUGUAUUCACCAAGAAGUCACCUACCAUUGAGCCAGAAAAAAAAGAAGUCCCUUGGAAGUGGAUCCAAGGAAACUACAAGAGGACAAAAACGGACAGCCGAUGAUGCCAUAAUAGCAACUGAUCGCCUUGCAGAUGCAUCACUUAGCAUUGCUGAAGCAAAGAAAACAGUAGCUAAACAAAAUGAAGCUUACUCGGUUAAAUCUUGUAUGGCAAUAUUAAAUAGUAUGAGUAAUCUAGAUCCCAAAGUGAAACUAAAAGUGGUAAAGGCAUUUACAGAUGGUGAUAAACAGGCCAUUUUCAUUGAGAUGGAUGAAGAGAUGCAGAAGCUCUGGAUUCUUGAUCCUUAGAAUUUUUGUAAUACACAUUUGAGCAUAGUAUUUUAUUUUAGUCGUUAUCGCACUUUACAAGAUUCGAAAAACAAUUUCACUUAUGUUUUGUUAGUUUGUGUGAAGUAAUAAAUUUUAUUUUCAGUUCGUUAUUGUUCAUUGUCGGGUUCAUCACUGUUACAUUAUAAAACAAUUAUCCUGAGAUGAUAUGGUCAACUGUGCAAAUCAUGGAGGGAUCUAUGAACAUUUCGGAUGUGCCAGAUGAUGACCUUUUUGAUUCCGAGUAAGUGCUUAUUAAUAACAUUUCUGCAGUGUCCUUGUUUCGUGAUGUGUUGUUCACAAGGUUAUUCAAAACAGCCCGUAACACUUCUAUAUUAACUGGUGCUCAGAAAACAAUAGAGUUUUUAGAGGGACAUCCAGUUAGAUUUUAUGAACAAUUUCGUCUUGAGAAGCACAUAAUCUACUUGCUACAGGAUGCUUUGUGCGAGAGAAAGUUACUUAAGGAUACAAAUCGAAUGACGGUGGAUGAACAACUACUCAUGUUUCUACAUACAAUUGGUCACAAUGUUAGAAACCGUGUCAUCCAAGAUAGAUAUCAACAUUCUGGCGAACCAAUCAGCCGACACUUCAACAAAGUUUUAGAUGCCAUAAAUGGUUUGCGUGAUGUUUGCAUAACAGAUCCAAACAAUCAAGUCCCAUCAAAAAUAUUGGGUGACGCAAGGUUCUACCCAUAUUUCAAGGUAUGUUUGCUAUUCGAAGCAGAUACUCCUUUACAUAUGAUUUUCAUAAAUAUAAUGUCCACACCAUCUAAACUUUAUUUUUUGACUAACAAAAAAAUCCUAACAGAACUGCCUAGGAGCAAUUGACGGGACACAUAUUGAGGCAAAAGUCAGGCUUGAUAAGCAAACUCCUUAUAGAAACAGACAUGGUUAUCUGUCUCAACACGUAAUGGCAGUAGUGUCAUUUGACAUGACAUUCUCUUAUGUCGCUGCUGGAUGGGAGGGUUCUGCAUCUGAUCAAGUUGUUCUAAGAUGGGCUGUUACUAGUGGGGGUUUAGUUGUUCCUGAAGGUAAAGUACAAUUAUUUGUGUAUCUACAAUAUAUAUAAAGAUGGCGACUGUGAUAUGAAAUUAAUGUGCAGGUAAAUUUUACCUUGUUGAUUCUGGCUACGCAAAUACUCCAAGAUUUAUUGCCCC
RNAcentral lists this long non-coding RNA (2924 nucleotides) under Triticum aestivum (bread wheat). RNAcentral describes it as "long non-coding RNA (TAES_LNC025334)". The record is from RNAcentral. Lineage: Eukaryota; Viridiplantae; Streptophyta; Magnoliopsida; Poales; Poaceae.